CAAAGUACAAGUCUCUACUCCAGGAGCCAUUGCCAAGGAGAUGAUUAUUCAUUAACUCUGGUCCACCUGGUCGAUGAAGUUCCUCAGUGGUGCAGUGUGUCAGGGGAUGAGAAUGUCUUUGUUCUGGGGAGAGCUGCAGCACCACAACCACUUCAAAGAACCCCAGCAGCUGAAACAACUUGCAAGGAAAGACCCCUCUUGACCUUCUCAUCAUCGGGGCAAACACUGCAACAACAGCAGCUCCCUGUGAAAUGGUCUUCAGGUACAGUGAGAAAGGCUCUGCUGGUGGUGCCCUGUGCAGUCCUGGGGCAGGUGUGGGUCACAUGGAGGGUCUGAGGAGCACAGGGGAGCACAGAAAGAAAAAGAGUCAAAAAAGAAAGGCCAAGUCCACUCUUGCUUGGUAGAUGCUGUCCUGGGAUCUGUAACACCACUCUGUGGGUUGUUGGCUGCAGGAAGCUCCAGUGUUGUAUCACAAAAUUGAAGUCGAGGCCUUGAAGGCAUUUCCUGAACUGCUGACUCUAAAGGAAGUACAUGACUUGUUGUUUUUUUAAACAUCAAGAUUUUGCUCUUACAUCUUUCUCAUCCUCUAGGCACAAUAAGUUUAAUAUGAAACUUGACAGGAAACAUGAACUAUUGCCCA
Long non-coding RNA from Lepidothrix coronata (blue-crowned manakin), 640 nucleotides. RefSeq lists it as uncharacterized. The record is from RefSeq and is a predicted model, not a curated record. Lineage: Eukaryota; Metazoa; Chordata; Aves; Passeriformes; Pipridae. The transcript has 3 exons.